UUUAUUAGAAGAGACGCAUUUAUUAGAUAAAAAGCCAAUGCAUGCUUUUACAGUAUGGAAAUUGGUGAUUUAUAAUAACUUGGCAAAUCGCAAAGUGAAAACAGGCGAUAAAUCAUUCAAGUUUCUGACCUAUCAGCUUUCGACGGUAUGGUAUUGGCUUACCGUGGCAGUGACGGUUAACGGGGGAUUAGGGUUCGAUUCCGGAGAGGGAGCCUGAGAAACGGCUACCACAUCUAAGGAAGGCAGCAGGCGCGCAAAUUACCCAAUUCUAACAGUUUGAGAGAGGUAGUAACAAGAAAUAACAAUACAAGGCAAUUAAAAUGCUUUGUAAUUGGAAUGAUAGAAAUUUAAACCCUUUUUAAAGUAUCAAUUGGAGGGCAAGUCUGGUGCCAGCAGCCGCGGUAAUUCCAGCUCCAAUAGCGUAUAUUAAAAUUGUUGCAGUUAAAAAGCUCGUAGUUGAAGUUCUGCUAAAAGUAACCGGUCUGCUUUUAAUAAAAGUGGUAUCUUGGUGUGUAUUUAGCAAUGAUGUCCUUUGAAGUGUUUUUUACUUUAUUGUAAUAAAGCAUAUUCAGGACUUUUACUUUGAGAAAAUUAGAGUGUUUCUAGCAGGCCGACGCUUUGAAUA
RNAcentral lists this ribosomal RNA (625 nucleotides) under Hepatozoon canis. RNAcentral's name for it is "bacterial SSU rRNA". It matches the Rfam family "Eukaryotic small subunit ribosomal RNA", at positions 188 to 801 of the family's 1831-position model. The record is from RNAcentral. Lineage: Eukaryota; Apicomplexa; Hepatozoidae.